CACUGAGGGAAGAGUCAGUUAGAAGCUGCUCCUCAUUUGCAGACUUUCCGGGAGCCCACCCAGUUCCCGGUCUCUCACCGGAGACCACAGGGAGGAGCUUCAAGUCAUCCAAAGUCCCUACAGCCUCCAGCAGUGAAGACUUCCACAAGGGAGUCUUCCUUACAUCACUGAAUAAUGAAUGAGGAUGAGAGAGAGAAAGAGAAGAGGGAUGAAUCUGAUGAAUUCGAAAAGGCAAAGAAGGCCGAAUUAACUGCCGUCUUGACAAGACUCCGCAAAAUACUGCAAACUCAUGGCUAUCCUGUAAAAGGAGACAAAUUGGAAACAUUACAGAGCACCACUGUCCUUUCACAAGAGGACAAAGGUUUGAUUUGUUCAGCCUCCACCAUCAUUAUAGGUUUUCAAUUAGCCACAUUGAAAAUUAGCUGUGGGUGGGACAACUUCGUCUCUCACUUUACCUCAGACAUUCGUUGGGAAGA
This 476-nucleotide long non-coding RNA is filed under the name Rhinopithecus bieti (black snub-nosed monkey). RNAcentral describes it as "lncRNA (ENSRBIG00000046114.1)". Lineage: Eukaryota; Metazoa; Chordata; Mammalia; Primates; Cercopithecidae. The record is from RNAcentral.